RNAcentral lists this ribosomal RNA (995 nucleotides) under uncultured Ascomycota. Its description in RNAcentral is "eukaryotic LSU rRNA". The stretch from base 314 to 995 matches the Rfam family "Eukaryotic large subunit ribosomal RNA", at positions 1 to 663 of the family's 3401-position model. The record is from RNAcentral. Lineage: Eukaryota; Fungi; Ascomycota.
AUCGAUGAAGAACGCAGCAAAGUGCGAUAAGCAAUGCGAAUUGCAGAAUUCCGCGAAUCAUCAGAUCCUUGAACGCAACUGGCGCUAGGGGGCUCUCCCCCUAGCAUGUCUGUUUCAGUGUCUGAAAACAUCACAUCUAACUUAAUGUGGUUGAUGAUGUAGUAGGUUUAUACCUCUAUCUAAUCUUCCAUUAAAGAUGUAUGUGUGGGUCUUUGAACCCCUCAUUGAAUUGGUCAUCGGUUUUAUCGGUGAUUUCAAUAGGGAUUGUCUCAAUUACCUAAAUACACAUAGAAACUUUAUACCAUCAAACUCUGCAUCUGAAAUCAGGCAAGAACACCCGCUGAACUUAAGCAUAUUACUAAGCGGAGGAAAAGAAAUCAACGAAGAUUGCCUCAGUAGCGGCGAGUGAAGCGGCAAUAGCUCAAGUUUAGAAUCUGUGGCUGUAUCAGUCACCGAAUUGUAAUCUAAAGGGGCUAACAAAAGGGGAUUUGGAAGCAUAAGUUCCUUGGAACAGGACAUCAUAGAGGGUGAAAAUCCCGUAUGUAGCUUCCAUUGAACCGAAUGUUAACUUACUAAGAGUCGGGUUGUUUGGGAUUGCAGCCCUAAAUGGGAGAUAAACUUCUUCUAAGGCUAAAUAUCUAUGGGAAACCGAUAGCGAACAAGUACUGUGAAGGAAAGGUGAAAAGAACUUUGAAAAGAGGGUUAAAAGACUUGAAAUCGUUGAGAAGGAAGCAGUAAAAGUGGAUUUAUGUUAGCUAUGAAGCAACCUAUGUGAGGAACCAGCUCGUAGUAGUUAUGUACGUCAUUGGCUACCUGCUACGAUGUAAUGGCACUCUAUGGGGAUUUCAUAGUUAAAGGGCAGAACCAGGUCUUAUUUUGCUGGAGUCAGUUGAGAGAAAGCCCACUCCUCGGAGUGAAUCUCUCUUCAAAACAGUAAGCUGGCCUGAGGAAAAGGUUCUGUCACAACGGCUUUUACUGACCCGUCUUGAAACACG